This 227-nucleotide ribosomal RNA is filed under the name uncultured bacterium. Its description in RNAcentral is "partial 16S ribosomal RNA". It matches the Rfam family "Bacterial small subunit ribosomal RNA", at positions 524 to 746 of the family's 1533-position model. The record is from RNAcentral.
UACGUAGGGUGCAAGCGUUUAAUCGGAAUUACUGGGCGUAAAGCGUGCGCAGGCGGUUUUGUAAGUUUGUCGUGAAAUCCCCGGGCUCAACCUGGGAAUGGCGAUGAAGACUGCAAGGCUAGAAUCUGGCAGAGGGGGGGUAGAAUUCCACGUGUAGCAGUGAAAUGCGUAGAGAUGUGGAGGAACACCGAUGGCGAAGGGCAGCCCCCUGGGUCAAGAUUUGACGC